AUUGAACGCUGGCGGCAGGCCUAACACAUGCAAGUCGAACGAGUGGCGGACGGGUGAGUAAUGUAUGGGGAACUGCCCGAUAGAGGGGGAUAACUACUGGAAACGGUGGCUAAUACCGCAUACUAUCGGAUGACCCCAUAUGGGAUUAGCUAGUAGGUGGGGUAAAGGCUCACCAAGGCGACGAUCCCUAGCUGGUCUGAGAGGAUGACCAGCCACACUGGAACUGAGACACGGCCCAGACUCCUACGGGAGGCAGCAGUGGGGAAUAUUGCACAAUGGGCGCAAGCCUGAUGCAGCCAUGCCGCGUGUAUGAAGAAGGCCUUAGGGUUGUAAAGUACUUUCAGCGGGGAGGCGUUACCCGCAGAAGAAGCACCGGCUAACUCCGUGCCAGCAGCCGCGGUAAUAC
RNAcentral lists this ribosomal RNA (406 nucleotides) under uncultured bacterium. Its description in RNAcentral is "partial 16S ribosomal RNA". It matches the Rfam family "Bacterial small subunit ribosomal RNA", at positions 30 to 526 of the family's 1533-position model. The record is from RNAcentral.